GUAAAAUUCAUGCCGAAUCCCGGGAGGUCCCGGGUACGGAGGAACCAGCCAUUUGGGGGUGAAUCCUUUUAUUUUUUAGGUAGGGUUAUCCUUGCCCGAACCCGUCAGCUAACUCCGGAGGCAAAAAGGAGGAGAAAG
RNAcentral lists this small RNA (138 nucleotides) under Desulforamulus ruminis. Its description in RNAcentral is "Desulfotomaculum ruminis c-di-AMP sequence". It matches the Rfam family "c-di-AMP riboswitch aptamer (ydaO/yuaA leader)". Rfam says of the family: This family represents a conserved RNA structure found upstream of the ydaO and yuaA genes in Bacillus subtilis and related genes in other bacteria. The ydaO/yuaA element is thought to act as a genetic "off" switch for the ydaO and yuaA genes in its native state. RNAcentral also lists the same sequence under 1 other name. The record is from RNAcentral. Lineage: Bacteria; Bacillati; Bacillota; Clostridia; Eubacteriales; Peptococcaceae.